Molecule: ribosomal RNA, 440 nt
Filed under: uncultured bacterium
Lineage: Bacteria
Description: partial 16S ribosomal RNA
Rfam family: Bacterial small subunit ribosomal RNA
Source: RNAcentral
CCUACGGGAGGCAGCAGUGGGGAAUAUUGCGCAAUGGGCGAAAGCCUGACGCAGCGACGCCGCGUGAGGGAUGAAGGUCUUCGGAUCGUAAACCUCUAUCAGCAGGGAAGAUAAUGACGGUACCUGACUAAGAAGCCCCGGCUAACUACGUGCCAGCAGCCGCGGUAAUACGUAGGGGGCAAGCGUUAUCCGGAUUUACUGGGUGUAAAGGGUGCGUAGGUGGCAGGGCAAGUCAGAUGUGAAAGCCCGGGGCUCAACCCCGGUACUGCAUUUGAAACUGUCCAGCUGGAGUGCAGGAGAGGUAAGCGGAAUUCCUAGUGUAGCGGUGAAAUGCGUAGAUAUUAGGAGGAACACCAGUGGCGAAGGCGGCUUACUGGACUGUAACUGACACUGAGGCACGAAAGCGUGGGGAGCAAACAGGAUUAGAUACCCCUGUAGUC